GGGCAUAGCUCAGUGGUAGAGUGUGUGCUCAGCAUGCAUGAGGUUCUGAGUUUAAUCCCCAGUAUGUCCA
Molecule: transfer RNA, 70 nt
Filed under: Camelus bactrianus (Bactrian camel)
Lineage: Eukaryota; Metazoa; Chordata; Mammalia; Artiodactyla; Camelidae
Also listed under: 2 other names
Rfam family: tRNA
About the family: Transfer RNA (tRNA) molecules are approximately 80 nucleotides in length. Their secondary structure includes four short double-helical elements and three loops (D, anti-codon, and T loops).
Source: Rfam by way of RNAcentral